UGGCGACCAUAGCAAGAGUGAACCACCUGAUCCCUUCCCGAACUCAGAAGUGAAACCUCUUAGUGCUGAUGGUAGUGUGGGAUUACCCAUGUGAGAGUAAGUCAUCGCCAGCUC
RNAcentral lists this ribosomal RNA (114 nucleotides) under Acinetobacter baumannii 268680. Lineage: Bacteria; Pseudomonadati; Pseudomonadota; Gammaproteobacteria; Moraxellales; Moraxellaceae. The record is from RNAcentral.